Pyrus x bretschneideri (Chinese white pear) is the source of this 409-nucleotide long non-coding RNA. RefSeq lists it as uncharacterized. The transcript has 2 exons. The record is from RefSeq and is a predicted model, not a curated record. Lineage: Eukaryota; Viridiplantae; Streptophyta; Magnoliopsida; Rosales; Rosaceae.
GGUUCGAUCUCGCACAAUCUCAUGUUCACUUGCUGAUGCAUUUUCAGAAAUUUGGUGCUAGUUUUCAAUUCCCCGUGUGUGCCGACAAAGACUCUUCCAGUAAGACAUCCCAUGCUCCCUUCAAGGCUUCUUCAUGAGAGAUCUGAGGAAAUAUCUCAUCAAAGAUAGCUCCCUGAAUCAGCCCCAAAGCUUUGGCAUCCUUCAUGAGCUUCUCCAUGAGAGUCAUCACCCAGCAAUGCUAGAUUCUUCUUUUUCUUUCUUCUUUGCAUCAAACUCAAGCAAUUUCUUCGAAUUUCAAACUGAUUUCUUCACAUAUUCAAACACCCAAUAUCAAACGAUCGAACCUAGCUCCGAGACCAUGUUAAAAUCUAAGAGAUUAUGAUCUCAAUUUAAUGGAAAUUAUCAAAAA